Molecule: ribosomal RNA, 470 nt
Filed under: Bacillus sp. (in: firmicutes)
Lineage: Bacteria; Bacillati; Bacillota; Bacilli; Caryophanales; Bacillaceae
Description: bacterial SSU rRNA
Rfam family: Bacterial small subunit ribosomal RNA
Source: RNAcentral
UGCAGUCGAGCGAAUGACGAGGAGCUUGCUCCUCUGAUUUAGCGGCGGACGGGUGAGUAACACGUGGGUAACCUGCCUGUAAGACGGGGAUAACUUCGGGAAACCGAAGCUAAUACCGGAUAAUAAAAAGAGACUCCUGUUUCUUUUUUGAAAGUCGGUUUCGGCUGACGCUUACAGAUGGGCCCGCGGCGCAUUAGCUAGUUGGUGAGGUAACGGCUCACCAAGGCCACGAUGCGUAGCCGACCUGAGAGGGUGAUCGGCCACACUGGGACUGAGACACGGCCCAGACUCCUACGGGAGGCAGCAGUAGGGAAUCUUCGGCAAUGGACGAAAGUCUGACCGAGCAACGCCGCGUGAGCGAUGAAGGCCUUCGGGUCGUAAAGCUCUGUUGUCAGAGAAGAACAAGUACCGGAGUAACUGCCGGUACCUUGACGGUACCUGACCAGAAAGCCACGGCUAACUACGUGCCA